UACAUAGGUCGCGAACGUUAUCCGGAAUUAUUGGGCGUAAAGGGUGCGUAGAUGGUAUAAUAAGUUAUCGGUGGGAAAUCGGGGCUCAACCCCGUGGAAGUUGAUAAUACUGUUGUACUAGAGUGCAGGAGAGGUUAACGGAAUUCCAUGUGGAGCGGUGAAAUGCGUAGAUAUAUGGAGGAACACCGAAAAAGGCGAAGGCAGUUAACUAUUCUGUUACUGACAUUGAGGCACGAAAGCGUGGGGAGCAAAAAGG
Molecule: ribosomal RNA, 256 nt
Filed under: uncultured bacterium
Lineage: Bacteria
Description: partial 16S ribosomal RNA
Rfam family: Bacterial small subunit ribosomal RNA
Source: RNAcentral